RNAcentral lists this ribosomal RNA (440 nucleotides) under uncultured Rhodoplanes sp. Its description in RNAcentral is "bacterial SSU rRNA". It matches the Rfam family "Bacterial small subunit ribosomal RNA", at positions 338 to 795 of the family's 1533-position model. Lineage: Bacteria; Pseudomonadati; Pseudomonadota; Alphaproteobacteria; Hyphomicrobiales; Nitrobacteraceae. The record is from RNAcentral.
CCUACGGGGGGCUGCAGUGGGGAAUAUUGGACAAUGGGCGCAAGCCUGAUCCAGCCAUGCCGCGUGAGUGAUGAAGGCCUUAGGGUUGUAAAGCUCUUUCGUCAGGGAAGAUAAUGACGGUACCUGAAGAAGAAGCCCCGGCUAACUUCGUGCCAGCAGCCGCGGUAAUACGAAGGGGGCUAGCGUUGCUCGGAAUCACUGGGCGUAAAGCGCACGUAGGCGGCUUUCUAAGUCAGGGGUGAAAUCCCGGAGCUCAACUCCGGAACUGCCUUUGAUACUGGAAAGCUUGAGUUCGGGAGAGGUGAGUGGAACUGCGAGUGUAGAGGUGAAAUUCGUAGAUAUUCGCAAGAACACCAGUGGCGAAGGCGGCUCACUGGCCCGAUACUGACGCUGAGGUGCGAAAGCGUGGGGAGCAAACAGGAUUAGAUACCCUAGUAGUC